RNAcentral lists this ribosomal RNA (494 nucleotides) under uncultured bacterium. Its description in RNAcentral is "partial 16S ribosomal RNA". It matches the Rfam family "Bacterial small subunit ribosomal RNA", at positions 28 to 507 of the family's 1533-position model. The record is from RNAcentral.
GACGAACGCUGGCGGCGUGCUUAACACAUGCAAGUCGAACGGAAAGGCCUGCUUUCCCUUGUGGAUUGCGGGUACUCGAGUGGCGAACGGGUGAGUAACACGUGAGUGAUCUGCCCCCAACUUGGGUAUAAGCCUGGGAAACUGGGUCUAAUUCCCGAUAGGACUGCAGGGUGGUGCCUGUGGUGGAAAACGAUUUUCUAGUGGUUGGGGAUGAGCUCGCGGCCUAUCAGCUUGUUGGUGGGGUAAUGGCCUACCAAGGCGGCGACGGGUAGCCGGCCUGGGAGGGUGGACGGCCACAUUGGGACUGAGAUACGGCCCAGACUCCUACGGGAGGCAGCAGUGGGGAGUAUUGCACGAUGAGCGGAAGCCUGAUGCAGGGACGCCGCGUGGGGGAUGACGGCCUUCGGGUUGUAAACUCCUUGCGACCGCGAGGAAGCCACCUGGUUGGAAGGGUGGUGACGGUAGUGGCAGAAGAAGCACCGGCUAACUACGUG